UACGGAAGGCAGCAGUGGGGAAUAUUGCACAAUGGGCGCAAGCCUGAUGCAGCCAUGCCGCGUGUAUGAAGAAGGCCUUCGGGUUGUAAAGUACUUUCAGUCGUGAGGAAGGUGUUAAGGUUAAUAACCUUAGCAAUUGACGUUAGCGACAGAAGAAGCACCGGCUAACUCCGUGCCAGCAGCCGCGGUAAUACGGAGGGUGCGAGCGUUAAUCGGAAUUACUGGGCGUAAAGGGCACGCAGGCGGUUAAUUAAGUUGGAUGUGAAAUCCCCAGGCUUAACCUGGGAAUGGCAUUCAAGACUGGUUAGCUAGAGUCUUGUAGAGGGGGUAGAAUUCCAUGUGUAGCGGUGAAAUGCGUAGAGAUGUGGAGGAAUACCGGUGGCGAAGGCGGCCCCCGGACAAAGGACUGACGCUCAUGUGCGAAAGCGUGGGGAGCAAAC
Molecule: ribosomal RNA, 440 nt
Filed under: uncultured bacterium
Lineage: Bacteria
Description: bacterial SSU rRNA
Rfam family: Bacterial small subunit ribosomal RNA
Source: RNAcentral